AAAUGAAGGAAUAUUGACCCCUUAAGGACACAUGACAUGUCAUGAUUCCCUUUUAUUCCAGAAAUCUGGUCCUUAAGGGGUUAAACAAUUAAUCUGUCAGUAUUUCAGAACUGCUUGCAAAACAUAACUGAAAGGAAGUCACAAGCUAUGACAGUUUCUAUGUAUCAGGAAAUGCCUAACCACAAUGUAUAUGUGAUAUUUUGUAAGAUUAGAUUAUUGAAUGUAACAGCAGAAACUACUUCCUCUUUUAUGUAUCUUGUGUAACCUUUUUGUAACCUUUUUGUAACCUUUUGUAACCAAUAUUCGUGACAAGUAUAGUAUAAAUAUAGCGAAUCUUGAAUAAACGAUCAGAAGAUUAUGGAGAGCAAAAAGUGUGUGUCUGGUUAAUACGCUUCCAUAAAAAUCUUCCCUGAAUAUUCAGCUGACAAUCGAGGGUUGGAGAAUAGUGACCAGAGGGACCGAGUCACCAGAGUAGCAGAUUUACCUUUCAGCUUGGUGUCAGAAGUGGGAUUGUAGCCAAAACCAUUUUGGGUGAGUAGUAAUUCCUUGUGUCUAUCUUGACGCCCUGAAUCUAUGAUCCCCAUGGUUUUGUAAGUCUACAUCAUUUUAGGAAAGGUUAUUUAGUAUAUGUGUUUUCUGUGACUCAGUUUUACAUAAGGUCCCGUUACAUUAGUCUAGUAAGGGAACUAGACAGAGAGAUAUAUGUAUUUCUAGUAAGUGAACUAGAGAAGGUCUAAUAAGAGAAUUGGACAGAUAAAGUCUAUAAAGUGAUAUAGACAGAGAAUUUAGUAUAUAAGUGAAUAUACUACGAUAGUGUGCACAGAGUUUCAGGUUCACCUUGUCCACCCUCUAAUUGUCAUUAGUUAAGUCUGGUUGUGAGUGUGAAUAAGUGUUUGAAAGAUUUGUCCUAGGAAUGGGAAAUUACCAUGUAAGAAUAUGAAGUAGUUAACUUUUCUUGUUCAUAUGUAUUUUAUGCUUAAAUAAGGUUUAUAAUCAUUAGUGCUGACUGUAAGGAUAUGAAAUAGUUAAACUCUUUUUGCUUUAUAUGCUAACCCUGAAAAUAUACUCACUGAGAAUCUUGUUAAAGCACAUUUGUAGUGUCCAUGUCUUUAUUGCAAAAAAAUGAUUCUCCAUCAAUGGGGUGAUUGUCUAUACUGGGGACACACUUUGGUAAGUUAGUAGUGUGUCCACCCUGAGUCAGCAGUAUGGGAAAUGUGAGUUCAGGUCCUGAGUGACCAAUAUAUAUAUACAUAAGAUACCAGUACUGUAUAUUAGAAAAGAACUGACUCGCAGGUUGUACCUGAUAGACCUACUUAAAUCUUUUGUUUUAUUCUUUCUGUUGCAUAGAAGUAUAAGUUUAUUACUCUGUUUUAUUGCAAGUUAUUUCACAUGGGAUCUGUGUGCCUGAUAUGAUUGUUGCUUUAAUACCAUAAGCCCACUACACUUUCUAUGAGAGUGGGAUAGUGUAAAUGUGUUGCAUUGUUUGCAUGAUGAGCUCAGUAUUUUUAGAACUGAGACAAAAAGUCACUUCAUUAGUAUUUGAACGUUAAUUCCCCAUAUGGGAUUAAUUGUAUAGAAACACCAAUCAGCACAUCUUCCCUGCCCUGUGUGUUUGUUGCAAAGGAUCCAUACCAUUAAUAUGAUUUUUGUUUGUAAAUAAGAGAGCAACAUUUACAUUUUCAGCGGUCCAACACAUGCUUCAUUUUGUGCUGUAAGCUAACCUUUUUAUUGCUACAGAUGCUUUAAAUGAUUCAGCUACUGCAUAUGUUUUGUGUCUUCUAUGUCUCACAUUAUAUGUGUUCUGUUCUUUUAAAUUGUGGUAUAUAGCCUGGAUCAGAGAUUAUGGACAAAGGUUUCUACCUGUUUUACUAAGGCUCUUGGAGACUGACCGGUCUAAGGUUUGCCAUGCCUUUUAAACAUGGUAUAGAAUAAUUUUUUUUAAGUCUCUGAGAGUUCUGUAAGAUUCUGGUGAAACCAUGUCUGUGUAAUCUGGUCCAAAUGUUUGCUCAAUUUCUAUAAGAUGUAAGUUGAUGCAGCAUCACUUCAGAUUAGUUAAUGGAAGUUUCAUACAAAUAUUUGAGUUAUGAGUGCGCUAUAUAAAUGGAUCCUUUCUCUAUAUACAAUACUAUAGUAGAUUAAAGUAAUGAAGUUAAUAAGAAUUAAAAAAAAAAAAAAGUAUACAUAAGAAUCCCUAAAAUAAAUCUAAUAUAAACUAAAAUUGGUAUACCUUACAAUAAUAUGUUCUGAGUACAGCUGUUAACUGUUUAUUCUGUGUAAAUGGUGAUUGUGAUAAUGUGUGAAGUGUGCAGCUUACCUGGAAAGUGGUUUAAUUUAUAUGUUGCUGUGUUGUUUUCUGAUUGUGUUCUGAUAUAGCUAUAUGGGAAUGGAGAUUUGGAGGUGUUAGUUUAAGACUGCUUUCAUAUUGUGUCUACCCGUGUUUCCUAGGAGGGACACAGAGUGUGUAGUUGUGUGCUCAUGAAUGUGUUUUCAAUAUUGGCAUAUCUGCUGGGUACCCGAUACGUGUAUCUACUACGUCUGUUUUGUGAGAUGUCUGUUUUGUGAGAUGACAUGUAAUAUUACAUUGAAUGCUGAGUAUGAGUUAUAUGGUUUGAAAUGAAUUGGUGUGUUAUGUGUUUCAUGUAUUUUAUUGUCCAUUGUGUAGGAGUUUAACUAGCAGAGUGAUUUGCAUAUCAUUAACACAAGCAUUUAGUGUUUUUACAAAAGGUGAAAUGCUGUCCAGCCGGCUAGAAUGAAACAAUUGUAUGCUAUCGCUCCUGGAGCAAGAAAAGCGCUUGUUACAUCCCACGUGAAAGGGGCCCCGCAAACUUCUGCUGUUCAAAUCGUGGAUCCACAUUUCCAUUUGCAAAUUGAUUAAUCCUGAAAGUCAUUCUUUUACUGAUAAAAAGGAUUGAAUGGACAAGAUGUCUCUCCCUCAUAAAGGAGUUCUAAUAGGGGAGUAUUGUCCAGCUCAGAGUUAACUCUACUUUUAAAGUAUAUUGCAUUGUUUGUGUCAAAGUAAGAUUCAUCUAGUAUGUCUCAUUGAUUAUGGGGUAAUAAUAACAUGGUAUUUUUAUUGGAGAUUAGACAAUUUCUGAAAUUUAUAAGUGAGGUAAUUUUAAUCUCCUAAACUACUGUAUUAUAUUUGUAUGGGUAAAUUGAAAGCAUUUUGCAGAUCCAGAGGAGCAUUAAUAAAUAAUAUAAUAAUCUCACUAGGAGCCAAAUUAUGCAAAGAGGCUAUCCAAAGUAUGCACUAACGGGUUAAACUUGUUUUCUUGAUAAGCGUAUAACAUUUAGUUUUGUGGUUAGACUUUUGAUACUCAAUUUAAAAUAUGUCCCAACUACAUCCUUGCACGGCACCAGGUACAGGAAGCAAUUUGCGUUUUAAAAAUUUGCAAGGUCUUAGUGUUUUCAAUAUAUUAUAACAAUGGAAAAGUACCUAACCGCAUGUCUGCAUUAUGCUCAUGACACAGACCCUAUAUGAAGGCUAUGCAAACCCUAUAUGAAGGCUAUGCUUUCAUUGUCGAUGUAUAUACCCCUAGACAACCUUGCUUUAUAUACAAAAUUUAACUAUCCAUU
Non-coding RNA from Pelobates cultripes (western spadefoot toad), 3576 nucleotides. The record is from the annotation of a GenBank genome assembly. Lineage: Eukaryota; Metazoa; Chordata; Amphibia; Anura; Pelobatidae.